Quercus robur (English oak) is the source of this 1793-nucleotide long non-coding RNA. RefSeq lists it as uncharacterized. The record is from RefSeq and is a predicted model, not a curated record. Lineage: Eukaryota; Viridiplantae; Streptophyta; Magnoliopsida; Fagales; Fagaceae. The transcript is spliced from 2 exons.
UAGAUGUCAUGUCAUUGAGUCCUUAUUUAUCCUCAAAUAUCUCAACCAUGCUCUCUCUCUUGCUUUCUAUUUCUUGGCAAAAUUUCAUGUCCAAAUUCAUCCAUCACAGUUGCUCACGGUAUGGGCUUGUGAAAUCAAGGUUUGCUCAAAUUUUAACCUUAAAUACCUGUUUUCGUAACCAAUUUAAUAUGAUACCGUUGGGCUCUCUGAGACUUUUACAAAUUGAAAAAACAAGGCAAAGUAAGCAAGUAUCUUUUAUUUUGAUUUCAAAUCCACACCUUUCACUUUCUGUUUUGGGUACUUUUGUUGUUGGACUACUGGUAUAUUUGUUGUUGUGCAUCUUAUCAUUAUUGAUUUCAUGUUCUCUUAUCAUAUGCCAUUAUGAUCUUGUUUGAUAUGGUAAAGGAGCAUGAGUUAAUAAUUUUAAAUUUGGUUUACUAUUUUAUGUAAUUGCUCCAUUUUGAGUGAGAUAAGUCUUGGAGAUUUGGUUGUUUUUUGAAGGGUUGUUCUAAGUGGUUUAAUUUGUUCAAUUGGUCAACAAUUCUAGUGGACUUUAGUUAAUGGUGUGUGUUUGAAUGUGGUAAUAAAAGAUGUAUCAUAGAAGUGAUUGAACUACAUAGUGUUUUGGGGAUCUGAAAAUUCAAAUUUAUAAGGUGAUGCUACCAACUUAAUCUCUUUAGCAAAUUUUCCAUACUUCUCCUAUGAAUAGGCAUAGAACACAGCUGGAAUGCAUAUGUCUGGGUCAGUUAUCCACUCUUAAGUAAAAUUAUUAUCCAUUUUCCAUGAACUGGGAUCUUGUAUGGUUCUCUUGGCAGUUUUUGGUGGUAAUUUGUUGUUUUAGGUCUCAAGUUGGGAUCUUGUUGUUGGCCAAUGACCUCUAAUUCAAAUGGUAUCUCCUCCCCUCAUAAAAUGCAAUGGGUGAGUGAGUUUAUAGUUUCAAGAGCACAGAUUAAAUAACCAAUAAAAUAAAAAGAGAGCGAAUGAGGUUGCAAGCUUGCAACUGUAUUUCAUUUUGGGUAUUGAUGUGAACUUGUUACUUGGCCAUUGCUUUGCCAACUUUACAAAAUAUUAUUCAAGUUACAUGCCAUCUUUUAAAGCAUAGCUUUCUAAAUUAUCUCUUGUAAUUGCUAAGGUCUUAUACUGCAUAUUUUGGUAUCUUCUUGAAUUGUGAAAUCAAAUGUACUCAUUUCACUAAAUCAUGAAAUAAUAAUUUCAAUUACAUAUCAUUUGGGAUCAAGUGUUAACAAUUGUUAAACAUGCAAGAUUCUCUAUCAAGUAUUUUCUCUUUAACAAGCAUGCUUGUGUAAAUCCAUACACAACGGUUGGUGAUUAUGACCUUUCAACCACAGCAGAAGCAUUGAAAGUUCUUGACUCUCAUGGAUCAGACAUAUUUGAGCUGCUACAUGUUCCUUGGCAAGAGGGACAAAUUACAAUGCAAUUAUAUAUAUGAUGAAGGUAGGGCCAUUAUACAAUGCCAUGCCAUUUUUUGCCAUCAUUAGAUCAAGAUACAAAAAAGACUCUAUUAUUUUAUUGUACUAUUUCUUCAUCUAAUUUAUGUUAGGCAAAACAUCCACUAUCAAGUCUUUGUGAGAUGUUCAUAAAGAAUAGUAAUUUGACUCACGUCAUACCACCUUUGUUAUUAGUGAAAACUCAAUUGCAAAAGUGGAUUGAAAAAACUUUUGAUGAGUUAAUUAUUGAUUCUUUUGAAUGCUAGGUAAACUCUUCUUUGAGAAAUUGAAGAGAUUUGUCUACUUAAUCUAUUCUCGGUAUCUAAUAUAUAUCACUUAUGAUAA